GGAGCAGUGGCCAGCUCUUUUUACAGAGAGACCAGUGUUUGCAGAGUUUGACAGGAUAGUCACCACAGAUCUGCAGACUGCAGAGUAACUUUUAUGGUGCUGUGGAUCGCUACACACCACGUUUUGUCACAAGUCUUCAAGAAGCAUUGGAGAGAAAUUUGAUGAUCUUAUGCAGCAAAUUAAUACAGGGGUUUGUGAUGUUGAUGAAGCCUGGGCACAAGUAUCUGUUGGGGUGCUGACUGUCAUUGAUGAAGAAGAAUCUCUCUCUCUACCUUUGC
Long non-coding RNA from Rhinichthys klamathensis goyatoka, 278 nucleotides. RefSeq lists it as uncharacterized. Lineage: Eukaryota; Metazoa; Chordata; Actinopteri; Cypriniformes; Leuciscidae. The record is from RefSeq and is a predicted model, not a curated record. The transcript has 3 exons.